This 91-nucleotide transfer-messenger RNA is filed under the name Bifidobacterium breve. RNAcentral's name for it is "partial transfer-messenger RNA". It matches the Rfam family "transfer-messenger RNA", at positions 291 to 374 of the family's 374-position model. Rfam says of the family: Bacterial tmRNA, also known as 10Sa RNA or SsrA, is named for its dual tRNA and mRNA-like properties. Its role is to liberate the mRNA from a stalled ribosome. Lineage: Bacteria; Bacillati; Actinomycetota; Actinomycetes; Bifidobacteriales; Bifidobacteriaceae. The record is from RNAcentral.
GAAAAACCGCCAACUUGGCCAGCAGACUACGCACGUAGAAGACUGUGGGCUCGGUCAUCGGACCGGGGUUCGAUUCCCCGCGACUCCACCA